Molecule: long non-coding RNA, 590 nt
Filed under: Fukomys damarensis (Damara mole-rat)
Lineage: Eukaryota; Metazoa; Chordata; Mammalia; Rodentia; Bathyergidae
Description: lncRNA (ENSFDAG00000028651.1)
Source: RNAcentral
GCUCCUCCCACAUACACACAGGUUCUGCAGGCAGGGGCCCCCACCACCAUCGCAGCUCUGGUCUCAGGCAGGCCUUGCUGCCAGGAGACACCCUGAAGGGUCUGAAAACAGCAACAUCAGCCACCUACAGGCCAGCCCAGGCCACCAGCCCUGCCUCGAUGGAACUCACGGUUCAUAAGCGACCAACCACUGAACAGCUAAGAGCAGACCAAGGGCUCAUGGCAGCAAUGGGCAAGGGCACUGGGAUGAGAGACAGGGAGCCUACAAGAGGAGCUGCUGUGUCCUGAAGGCCCAGCACUGUGUCCAGGCAUCCGGGACUACUGGACCCUCUUCUCCAGCUCAGCAUGGCCUCCUGCAGUCUCAGCUUCCACAAGGGGCAUCCUCUGCCCACCUGAUUCUGAAGUGCGCCCCGCCCUGGCCCUAGACCCCAGUUAAAUCUGCUCCUCCUACAGCACACCCAAGGAUUACAGGAGUAGCACCCAGGCAUGUGUGCACCAAUCACAUGCAUCCAGGAAGUGCUAUGUUCUACUGGAAUAUUUUGAAUUGAAGACACCAUCAAUAGCAAAAUGCCCCCUUAUUUUAUGGACCAC